AGGAAGAACAUCCUUCCGCGCUGGUGAACGAUGCCUGGGCAGGGCGAAGCCAGAAGAAACUCUGGUGGAGGUCCGUAGCAGUCCUGACGUGCAAAUCGGUCAUCUGGCCUGGCUAUAGGGGCGAAAGACUAAUCAAACCAUCUAGUAGCUGGUUCCCUCCAAAGUUUCCCUCAGGAUAGCUGGCACUCGUCCGUCUCCGCAGUUUCAUCUGGUAAAGCGAAUGAUUAGGUCUUGGGGCCGAAACAAUCUCAAACUUCAAAUGGGUAAGAAGCCCGGCUCGCUGGCGUGGAGCUGGGCAUGGAAUGUGAGUGCCUAGUGGGCCACUUUUGGGAAGCAGAACUGGCGCCGCGGGAUGAACCGAACACCAGGUUAAGGCGCGCGAUGCCAACGCUCAUUGUUGUCUUUCAUUCUCUGAAAGGCAGCAAGAUGUAAAAGGUUCUGUAGCGGGACAUUCACAUUCUGUAGCUGAACCU
Molecule: non-coding RNA, 473 nt
Filed under: Chelonia mydas (Green sea turtle)
Lineage: Eukaryota; Metazoa; Chordata; Testudines; Cheloniidae
Description: Eukaryotic large subunit ribosomal RNA
Rfam family: Eukaryotic large subunit ribosomal RNA
Source: Rfam by way of RNAcentral